Molecule: transfer RNA, 92 nt
Filed under: Alphaproteobacteria bacterium
Lineage: Bacteria; Pseudomonadati; Pseudomonadota; Alphaproteobacteria
Description: tRNA-Ser
Rfam family: tRNA
About the family: Transfer RNA (tRNA) molecules are approximately 80 nucleotides in length. Their secondary structure includes four short double-helical elements and three loops (D, anti-codon, and T loops).
Source: RNAcentral
GGAGGGGUGGCCGAGAGGCUGAAGGCGCCGGUUUGCUAAACCGGUAUACUGGGAAACCGGUAUCGAGGGUUCGAAUCCCUUCCCCUCCGCCA